RNAcentral lists this small nucleolar RNA (218 nucleotides) under Acanthochromis polyacanthus (spiny chromis). RNAcentral's name for it is "ACEA small nucleolar RNA U3 (ENSAPOG00000007319.1)". It matches the Rfam family "Small nucleolar RNA U3". From Rfam's summary of the family: Small nucleolar RNAs (snoRNAs) are involved in the processing and modification of rRNA in the nucleolus. Lineage: Eukaryota; Metazoa; Chordata; Actinopteri; Pomacentridae. The record is from RNAcentral.
AAGACUAUACUUUCAGGGAUCAUUUCUAUAGUUUCUGACUUGAGAAAUGUGUUUCUAAAGUGUUUGGUCUCGCCAACCACGAUGAUGAGGUGGUGAUAUUCUUUCUUGAGCGCGAAGCGGGCAGAGAGACUUGAUUUGUAUCAUACGCUCUUUGCUUUUGAUGACCGUUCACUGUCUCCUCUGGGGACUCUGAGGGAAAGAGUAUGAUCAGAGUGGUG